GGGCCCUUAGCUCAGCUGGCUAGAGCGCCACGAUGGCAUCGUGGAGGCCAUGGGUUCGAACCCCAUAGGGUCCACCA
This 77-nucleotide transfer RNA is filed under the name Candidatus Parcubacteria bacterium. RNAcentral's name for it is "tRNA-Ala". It matches the Rfam family "tRNA". From Rfam's summary of the family: Transfer RNA (tRNA) molecules are approximately 80 nucleotides in length. Their secondary structure includes four short double-helical elements and three loops (D, anti-codon, and T loops). The record is from RNAcentral. Lineage: Bacteria; Candidatus Parcubacteria.